AUAGUAACACAACAGAUAAGAUACAUAUAGAGAUAAU
This 37-nucleotide non-coding RNA is filed under the name Trypanosoma brucei brucei. The record is from RNAcentral. Lineage: Eukaryota; Euglenozoa; Kinetoplastea; Trypanosomatida; Trypanosomatidae.